UUUAAAUGAUGAUACCAAUAAAUUCAGUUCUGCUUCUGAUUACCAUUUUUUUUCAUGAAGAUAACAUUUACUUACCAUUUCAUUCAUAACUUUUCUGAAAA
Molecule: small nucleolar RNA, 101 nt
Filed under: Hanseniaspora osmophila
Lineage: Eukaryota; Fungi; Ascomycota; Saccharomycetes; Saccharomycodales; Saccharomycodaceae
Source: RNAcentral